GUUCCAUAAUGAGGGCACUUCCGUAAUAACUAUUUGUACCUUUCCCAUGCCUCAUACAAGGACUCAUCAUCCAUUUGUUGGAAAGCAGUGAUCUUGUUCCUUAACUU
Molecule: small nucleolar RNA, 107 nt
Filed under: Gossypium arboreum
Lineage: Eukaryota; Viridiplantae; Streptophyta; Magnoliopsida; Malvales; Malvaceae
Description: Plant small nucleolar RNA R71
Rfam family: Plant small nucleolar RNA R71
About the family: R71 is a member of the C/D box family of snoRNAs containing the C (UGAUGA) and D (CUGA) box motifs. Multiple nearly identical copies of this snoRNA have been identified in Arabidopsis, and it is thought to function as a 2'-O-ribose methylation guide for 18S ribosomal RNA.
Source: Rfam by way of RNAcentral